GAAUCCCUCAUGCCGAGCCGACUCCGAUGGUCACCACGACACAGGCGCCAAAAGACUGUGACGUCUACUGCAAGCCAUCGAAGGGCAAAGUGAAGAUCACGCUGCAGAAAUACUGCAAGAAGGACUACGCGCUUCACCUCCACCUGGUGAGCCGCUCGGCGGUGCGCGAGUGGACGCGCUUCACCGCCGAGAUCCGCUCCGUCUUCAAGUGGGGCGG
Lethenteron reissneri (Far Eastern brook lamprey) is the source of this 217-nucleotide long non-coding RNA. RefSeq lists it as uncharacterized. The record is from RefSeq and is a predicted model, not a curated record. Lineage: Eukaryota; Metazoa; Chordata; Hyperoartia; Petromyzontiformes; Petromyzontidae.